RNAcentral lists this small nuclear RNA (100 nucleotides) under Angiostrongylus costaricensis. The record is from RNAcentral. Lineage: Eukaryota; Metazoa; Nematoda; Chromadorea; Rhabditida; Metastrongylidae.
CUCAUUCUGAAGACAUACUAAAAUUGGAACAGUAGAUGGUAGAUUAGCAUUGUCCCUAUGCAAGAAUGGCACGCAAAUUAGUGAGGUGUUUCAGACAAAU